This 408-nucleotide ribosomal RNA is filed under the name uncultured bacterium. Its description in RNAcentral is "bacterial SSU rRNA". It matches the Rfam family "Bacterial small subunit ribosomal RNA", at positions 355 to 775 of the family's 1533-position model. The record is from RNAcentral.
UGGGGAAUAUUGCACAAUGGGCGAAAGCCUGAUGCAGCGACGCCGCGUGAGGGAUGACGGCCUUCGGGUUGUAAACCUCUUUCGCCCAGGACGAAGCGAGAGUGACGGUACUGGGAGAAGAAGCACCGGCUAACUACGUGCCAGCAGCCGCGGUAAUACGUAGGGUGCGAGCGUUGUCCGGAAUUAUUGGGCGUAAAGAGCUCGUAGGCGGCUUGUUGCGUCUGCCGUGAAAAUUCACAGCUUAACUGUGGACGUGCGGUGGAUACGGGCAGGCUUGAGUUCGGUAGGGGAGACUGGAAUUCCUGGUGUAGCGGUGAAAUGCGCAGAUAUCAGGAGGAACACCGGUGGCGAAGGCGGGUCUCUGGGCCGAUACUGACGCUGAGGAGCGAAAGCGUGGGGAGCGAACAG